GACGAACGCUGGCGGCGUGCUUAACACAUGCAAGUCGAACGGAAAGGCCCUGCUUUUGUGGGGUGCUCGAGUGGCGAACGGGUGAGUAACACGUGAGUAACCUGCCCUUGACUUUGGGAUAACUUCAGGAAACUGGGGCUAAUACCGGAUAGGAGCUCCUGCUGCAUGGUGGUGGUUGGAAAGUUUCGGCGGUUGGGGAUGGACUCGCGGCUUAUCAGCUUGUUGGUGGGGUAGUUGCUUACCAAGGCUUUGACGGGUAGCCGGCCUGAGAGGGUGACCGGCCACAUGGGGACUGAGAUACGGCCCAGACUCCUACGGGAGGCAGCAGUGGGGAAUAUUGCACAAUGGGCGGAAGCCUGAUGCAGCAACGCCGCGUGCGGGAUGACGGCCUUCGGGUUGUAAACCGCUUUCGCCUGUGACGAAGCGUGAGUGACGGUAAUGGGUAAAGAAGCACCGGCUAACUACGUG
This 468-nucleotide ribosomal RNA is filed under the name uncultured bacterium. RNAcentral describes it as "partial 16S ribosomal RNA". It matches the Rfam family "Bacterial small subunit ribosomal RNA", at positions 28 to 507 of the family's 1533-position model. The record is from RNAcentral.